Molecule: transfer RNA, 76 nt
Filed under: Erysipelotrichia bacterium
Lineage: Bacteria; Bacillati; Bacillota; Erysipelotrichia
Description: tRNA-Glu
Rfam family: tRNA
About the family: Transfer RNA (tRNA) molecules are approximately 80 nucleotides in length. Their secondary structure includes four short double-helical elements and three loops (D, anti-codon, and T loops). Further hydrogen bonds mediate the characteristic L-shaped molecular structure. tRNAs have two regions of fundamental functional importance: the anti-codon, which is responsible for specific mRNA codon recognition, and the 3' end, to which the tRNAs corresponding amino acid is attached (by aminoacyl-tRNA synthetases). tRNAs cope with the degeneracy of the genetic code in two manners: having more than one tRNA (with a specific anti-codon) for a particular amino acid; and 'wobble' base-pairing, i.e. permitting non-standard base-pairing at the 3rd anti-codon position.
Source: RNAcentral
GGUCCCAUCGACAAGCGGCCUAAGUCACCAGCCUUUCACGCUGGAGUCGCCGGUUCGAAUCCGGCUGGGAUCACCA